RNAcentral lists this long non-coding RNA (358 nucleotides) under Ananas comosus (pineapple). Its description in RNAcentral is "long non-coding RNA (ACOM_LNC033192)". The record is from RNAcentral. Lineage: Eukaryota; Viridiplantae; Streptophyta; Magnoliopsida; Poales; Bromeliaceae.
GAGCAUUCAUUACUGUCCUUUGUCAUUUAGUACUUCCUUUUCAUUCAUAAGAAUCUACCCAAGGUAGUCCAACUUGCGCCGCGCCUAAUGGCCCCGUGGUAGUAUACACUCCCCACGGCAAUCCACUUCGGCACCCAAUCCCGCACGGGCGAGCAACUGUCGCGUAGGCCAACUCCGGAGUGCCGGCUUGUAGGGAGCUACCCUCACAAGCAUGUGCGAAUGAGCACGAUGGCAAGCAAGCAUAAUCCACAGUCCAACAUGUCUCAAUUAUCAUGUUUUAACUCACAAUAUUCUCGCUCUCGAUCCUUUGAUCGACAUUUCAGUAUAACAAAUAUUGAUAACAACUAGUAUCCACUAG